Long non-coding RNA from Astatotilapia calliptera (eastern happy), 1348 nucleotides. NCBI's taxonomy places the organism in Eukaryota, Metazoa, Chordata, Actinopteri, Cichliformes, Cichlidae. The record is from Ensembl.
AUUUUAGCUGUGUCUACUGUUCUGGGAAAGGGGGGGGGGAUACUUUAAGGGUGGCUUCUUGGCAGCAUAUCUUAAGGAUGUGUUUUUCAUGACGUGGCUGGUAAUCUGCUGUUGAUAGCGUUUUAGGCCUCUUCUGCUUUCACCGUGCACUUGUCCAAUUUCCUUAAAUUUGUAAAAACACACUCCAUGCCCUACUGAGGUUUAAUAACAAAAUGCCUAAAGAUACAAUUUAAAAAUGGUCCUUAGUUAUGUUGUCUGUAACACAAAAAGAAAAAAACCACAUUCCCGUGAACAUGGUCAGGUGUAAGGAGUGGACUAGAAACCAAAAGCGAAACCUAGAAAGCCUCGAGAACUGUUGCUUAAGACCUCUUGGCUCAAAGAAAAAAACCAAAGAAAAGAAAAAGAGAACAAGAAAACACACCCUUCCAGUGAAAAGCUCUGCGGUUCAUUUUCACUGGAAGGGUUCAAAUGAGCUAGAAAGAAUAAUGCAACAAAUAAUAUUUCACAGUUCGGGAGUACAGCUCAACAGUGCAGUGAAUCAGUGGAUUGUAUAAAAACCUGAUGGAGUUUCAUUCUAUUAAUUAUACACUUAUCAAUAAUGUAGGUGUGGUCUUCUGCUGCUAUAGACCAUCUGCUUCGAGGUUUUUGGUCACAGAUGCUCUUCUGCAUGACUUGGUUGUAAAGAGUGGUUAUUUGAGUUACUGUUGCCUUUCUAUCAGUUCAAAGCAUUCCUCUGACCUCUGAAAUCAGCAAAGCAUUUUUACUUGGAGAACUGCCCUGAUAUGAACUCUUCUUUUUUUUUUUUUUUUUUUUAAACUAACCUCGGUAAACUCUAGAGAUGGUUGUGCUGGGAAAAUCCCAGCAGAUUAGUAACUUGGAAAAUGCAAUGGUAAAUGUUUUUUUUCACUCUUCACUGCACUAUCUAUAAUGCCAGAAAAAGCCCCCAAAAAUAUAUUUAAAAGAAUGUAGGAGGAUACAACAGUGAGUGGCUACAUGCAUCUAAAAAAAAAAACAUGUUGGAGGCUCCGUCAUGGCCACUAUCUGGAAAAUAACUGAUUGGCAGCAGCUUAAUAUUGUCACGCUGCCAAUUCAGUAAGACCAUACCUGGAUUUUAAAAAAAAAAGAAAAAAAAAGAAACCACACACAAUGUGACACUAUCAGUCUUUGACGAUAGUGUCCUUCCAGAAGCCUGGAGAACUAUUCCUCAAGACUACUCAAAGAAAUUAAAAGAAAACUGCUUCAGACAGUUUUGACUGUGUUAAAGAAUAAAGGUCAUAACAAAUAUUAACUGUCAAGCUUGUUAGAAUUGUACAAAUUUUAUUUUUGCCUCAUGUGCUGUAUUACCGUG